ACAGAGGGUGCGAGCGUUGUCCGGAAUCACUGGGCGUAAAGGGCGCGUAGGCGGCCUGGUAAGGUUGCGGUGAAAGCCCGGGGCUCAACCCCGAGUCGGCCGUGCGAACUGCUGGGCUCGAGCACUGUAGAGGCAGGCGGAAUUCCGGGUGUAGCGGUGGAAUGCGUAGAGAUCCGGAGGAAGACCGGUGGCGAAGGCGGUCUGCUGGGCAGUUUCUGACACUGAUGCGCGACAGCGUGGGGAGCAAACAGGA
This 253-nucleotide ribosomal RNA is filed under the name uncultured prokaryote. RNAcentral's name for it is "partial 16S ribosomal RNA". It matches the Rfam family "Bacterial small subunit ribosomal RNA", at positions 525 to 777 of the family's 1533-position model. The record is from RNAcentral.